This 496-nucleotide ribosomal RNA is filed under the name uncultured bacterium. Its description in RNAcentral is "partial 16S ribosomal RNA". It matches the Rfam family "Bacterial small subunit ribosomal RNA", at positions 29 to 507 of the family's 1533-position model. The record is from RNAcentral.
AUGAACGCUGGCGGCGUGCCUAAUACAUGCAAGUCGAGCGAACAGACGAGGAGCUUGCUCCUCUGACGUUAGCGGCGGACGGGUGAGUAACACGUGGAUAACCUACCUAUAAGACUGGGAUAACUUCGGGAAACCGGAGCUAAUACCGGAUAAUAUAUUGAACCGCAUGGUUCAAUAGUGAAAGACGGUUUUGCUGUCACUUAUAGAUGGAUCCGCGCCGCAUUAGCUAGUUGGUAAGGUAACGGCUUACCAAGGCAACGAUGCGUAGCCGACCUGAGAGGGUGAUCGGCCACACUGGAACUGAUACACGGUCCAGACUCCUACGGGAGGCAGCAGUAGGGAAUCUUCCGCAAUGGGCGAAAGCCUGACGGAGCAACGCCGCGUGAGUGAUGAAGGUCUUCGGAUCGUAAAACUCUGUUAUUAGGGAAGAACAAAUGUGUAAGUAACUAUGCACGUCUUGACGGUACCUAAUCAGAAAGCCACGGCUAACUACGUG